UCAAGCGAAGAAGGGCACACGGCGGAUGCCUAGGCGUAAGGGGGCGAGGAAGGACGCGGCAAGCGGCGAAACGCUCCGGGGAGCUGCAAGCGAGCAACGAUCCGGAGGUCUCCGAAUGGGGGAACCCACUUGAGGCGAACCUCAAGUAUCUCAUACUGAAUCCAUAGGUAUGAGAGGCGAACCGGGUGAACUGAAACAUCUAAGUAACCCGAGGAAGAGAAAGAAAGAUCGAUUCCCUAAGUAGCGGCGAGCGAACGGGGAAGAGCCCAAACCAUAUAUGUGUAAGGCCGCAACCGUUGCAUAUAUGGGGUUAAGGAGUGUCGAGCCGAAUUGCGGAUAGGCGAGCGAAGGCGAGGGGUAGCAGAACACUGCUGGAAAGCGGGGCCACAGAAAGUGACAGCCUUGUAUGCGAAACCCUAGAGUCUAGCUGACACAUCCAGAGUACUGCGGGGCACGUGAAACCCCGUAGGAAGUAGGGAGGCCCAUCUCCCAAGGCUAAAUACCACCUUACGACCGAUAGCGAACUAGUACCGUGAGGGAAAGGUGAAAAGCACCCCGGGAGGGGAGUGAAAGAGAACCUGAAACCGUGUGUCUACAAGCGGAGGGAGCUAAAGCGACCUCGUACUUUUUGUAGAACGGACCGGCGAGUUACCGUAUCAAGCGAGGUUAAGGAGUCAAGCUCCGGAGCCGAAGCGAAAGCGAGUCUUAACAGGGCGAAUAGUUUGAUGCGGUAGACCCGAAACCGUGUGAUCUACCCAUGGCCAGGGUGAAGCGGAGCUAACCCUUCGUGGAGGCCCGAACCGAAUUGACGUUGAAAAGUCAUGGGAUGAGCUGUGGGUAGGGGUGAAAUGCCAAUCGAACACGGAGAUAGCUGGUUCUCCCCGAAAUAGCUUUAGGGCUAGCCUUAACGUAAAAUCCUCGGGGGUAGAGCACUGAAUGGGCUAGGGGCCGAAAAGGUUACCGAACCCUAUCAAACUCCGAAUACCGAGGACAAGUAGUUAGGAGUCAGACUAUGGGGGAUAAGCUCCAUAGUCGAGAGGGAAACAGCCCAGACCGUCAGCUAAGGUCCCCAAGAUGAACCUAAGUGGGAAAGGAUGUUGUAUUACGAAGACAACCAGGAUGUUGGCUUAGAAGCAGCCAUUCAUUUAAAGAGUGCGUAAUAGCUCACUGGUCAAGUGAUACUGCGCCGAAAAUGUAACGGGGCUCAAGGUUCACACCGAAGCUGCGGCUUUGUAGCGGAGCUACAAGGGGUAGGGGAGCGUUCCUAUAGGGCAGAAGCAAUGCUGCAAGGCAUUGUGGACCGAUAGGAAGUGAGAAUGCCGGUAUGAGUAGCGAGAGGCAGGUGAGAAUCCUGUCCGCCGAAAGCCUAAGGUUUCCUGAGGAAGGCUCGUCCGCUCAGGGUAAGCCGGGGCCUAAGCCGAGGCAGAGCAUGCGUAGGCGAUGGACAACUGGUUGAAAUUCCAGUGCCACCUAAGGCCGUCAGAGCGAGGGGGUGACGCAGGAGGGUAAGCUGAGCGCGCGGUUGGUAGAGCGCGUCCAAGCACAAAGGCAAGCCUGGUAGGCAAAUCCGCCAGGUCAUGGCUGAAGUGUGAAGGGGAGUGAAACUACAAGUAACGAAGCAGCUGACCCCAUACUGCCGAGAAAAGCCUCUAGCGAGGCCAAGGGUGCCCGUACUGCAAACCGACACAGGUAGGCGAGGAGAGAAUCCUAAGGCGAGCGGGAGAACUCUCGUUAAGGAACUCGGCAAACUAACCCCGUAACUUUGGGAGAAGGGGUACCUGAGUAACUGCAUGAAAACAUGUGGUGAAAAGGUCGCAGUGAAUAGGCCCAAGCGACUGUUUAUCAAAAACACAGGUCUCUGCUAAGGAGAAAUCCGACGUAUAGGGGCUGACGCCUGCCCGGUGCUGGAAGGUUAAGGGGACUGCUUAGCGAAAGCGAAGGCAAGAACCGAAGCCCCAGUGAACGGCGGCCGUAACUAUAACGGUCCUAAGGUAGCGAAAUUCCUUGUCGGGUAAGUUCCGACC
RNAcentral lists this ribosomal RNA (2024 nucleotides) under anaerobic digester metagenome. Its description in RNAcentral is "bacterial LSU rRNA". It matches the Rfam family "Bacterial large subunit ribosomal RNA", at positions 3 to 1988 of the family's 2925-position model. The record is from RNAcentral.